GGCUCUGUGGUGAAAUUCAUGUUGAGUUGCAAGCUCAUCGAUGUACAUUAGAUGUGUACCGGAGCCU
This 67-nucleotide transfer RNA is filed under the name Nothocercus nigrocapillus. RNAcentral's name for it is "tRNA-Cys". The record is from RNAcentral. Lineage: Eukaryota; Metazoa; Chordata; Aves; Tinamiformes; Tinamidae.